This 73-nucleotide transfer RNA is filed under the name Candidatus Pacearchaeota archaeon. Its description in RNAcentral is "tRNA-Glu". It matches the Rfam family "tRNA". From Rfam's summary of the family: Transfer RNA (tRNA) molecules are approximately 80 nucleotides in length. Their secondary structure includes four short double-helical elements and three loops (D, anti-codon, and T loops). Further hydrogen bonds mediate the characteristic L-shaped molecular structure. tRNAs have two regions of fundamental functional importance: the anti-codon, which is responsible for specific mRNA codon recognition, and the 3' end, to which the tRNAs corresponding amino acid is attached (by aminoacyl-tRNA synthetases). tRNAs cope with the degeneracy of the genetic code in two manners: having more than one tRNA (with a specific anti-codon) for a particular amino acid; and 'wobble' base-pairing, i.e. permitting non-standard base-pairing at the 3rd anti-codon position. Lineage: Archaea; Nanobdellati. The record is from RNAcentral.
GCCCCGAUAGUACAGAGGCCAAGUACGCCGCCCUCUCAAGGCGGUAACCUGAGUUCGAAUCUCAGUCGGGGCG